AACGAACGCUGGCGGCAUGCCUAACACAUGCAAGUCGAACGAGACCUUCGGGUCUAGUGGCGCACGGGUGCGUAACGCGUGGGAACCUGCCCUUAGGUUCGGAAUAACUCCCCGAAAGGGGUGCUAAUACCGGAUAAUGUCUUCGGACCAAAGAUUUAUCGCCUUUGGAUGGGCCCGCGUUGGAUUAGCUAGUUGGUAGGGUAAAAGCCUACCAAGGCGACGAUCCAUAGCUGGUCUGAGAGGAUGAUCAGCCACACUGGGACUGAGACACGACCCAGACUACUACGGGAGGCAGCAGUGGGGAAUAUUGGACAAUGGGCGAAAGCCUGAUCCAGCAAUGCCGCGUGAGUGAUGAAGGCCUUAGGGUUGUAAAGCUCUUUUACCCGGGAUGAUAAUGACAGUACCGGGAGAAUAAGCUCCGGCUAACUCCGUG
Molecule: ribosomal RNA, 433 nt
Filed under: uncultured bacterium
Lineage: Bacteria
Description: partial 16S ribosomal RNA
Rfam family: Bacterial small subunit ribosomal RNA
Source: RNAcentral